Molecule: RNA transcript, 3370 nt
Organism: Lactuca sativa (garden lettuce)
Lineage: Eukaryota; Viridiplantae; Streptophyta; Magnoliopsida; Asterales; Asteraceae
Gene name: TATA box-binding protein associated factor RNA polymerase I subunit C
Source: RefSeq, a predicted model, not a curated record
GCCCUCCAUCCUUAUACACAUUAUUAUACACAGCGACACUAACACAGACGCCUCCAUUGUGCUGCUUCUCUCGAUCGUUGGCUCCUCAAGCGACGACGACUCCCCUGCUCGCCGCCGUUAACCAGCGCCUCCCCUGUGAAGCCACCGGCCGGAGACCGUCGCCCCCACAGCUACACCGGAGACUUCGACCUCACGGCUACAGACUUCUUCUUUGUCUCCAGAACCACCACUACACCACAAUUGCCUCCACAAUCACCACCUUCUUUAGUGGGUGAAUGAUUGUGGGAUGAUGAACACCUCAGAGGAAUGGAAAUCCUUGUGGUCAAUCUCUUCUGUACACUCACCACCCCUUCUCCUCUCACCUGCCACCACAACCGAUGGUGUCAAAAAAAUUGGGCCUUUGAUCUUUAACCCCUCUCCCAAAUCACAAACCCACAAUCAUCUCUUCACUUCACCUUCUGUUCCUCACAUCCCUCCACCUGUCUCUAACCUCUCCCUCUCUAGAUUCCUCCAUAAAUCAUCAUCUAUCCUUCCUUCCACAACCACUUCUAUCGCCUCACAACUCCCCUCAUCAUAUUCAAACCCUGAAACACUUCUUGCAUUCAACUCCCUUCAAUUGCUGCGAUGCCCUGGUUCGAAUUCGACUCUUGCAUUCUUUCCCACUGGUUCCAAUUCGGAUAAAAUUGGAUAUGUUAUGUUAUCUGUUAAGAAUUCUCAAUUGAAAGUCAGAGGAGAUCAUGGUGGGACCGAAGCUUUUACCACAAAAAGUGCAUUGAAUCAUCGGAUUGUCAAGAUUUCAGUUAGCCCUCUUGUUGAUUGUGAUUGUAAUCCAGGUGAUUCUACUACCAUUGGGUAUUUGUUGGUUUCAACAAUGUAUUCAGUUCAUUACUACGAUAUCAGAAUCACAAUGGAGAAUUCUGGUAAAGUAACACCAUUGUUGAAAUUAGUUGCUGAUAACUUGUUCAAAAGAUCUGUAGUUGUGCAUGCUUGUUGGAGUCCACAUUUACCUGAAGAAAGUCUUGUAUUGCUAGAUAAUGGGGAUUUGUUCUUAUUUGAUCUGGAUUCUUUCUCCAGACCCUCAUUACCAUCUCCAAGGUUAAAGGGUGAAAAAGUCAAAGUUUCUUGGGAUGAGUCUAUUGUUUCUGAGAAAGGUGGAUGGUUGAGCUGUGAUUUCAGUUGGCAUCCAAGAGUUCUGAUUGUUGCUCACUCUACUGUAGUUUUUCUUGUUGAUUCACGCCCCGAAAAGUGCACUAUCAUUCCUUUGUUGAAACUUGGCAUUGAGCAUGCAACAAAUGAUAUAUUUCUUGCAUUUUCCAUUUCUGCCCCUGAUCGUUUCUAUUUCACUUUGGCAUCCACUAACACAGUUUUCCUUUGUGAUAUAAGAAAACCAAUGAUUCCACUUCUUCGUUGGACACAUUAUCUUGCUAACCCUAGCUACAUUAUUGUUUCAAGUUUAUCCAACUUUAGGUCACAAUCUGAGGAUACUACAUACAAUUGGGCUUCUGAAUCAGGUUACGCCAUUUUAUUAGGGUCUUUUUGGAACUGUGAAUUUAGUCUUUUUUGCUAUGGCCCAGAUGUUAGAACACCUUCUUCUUCUUCUUCUUCUUCUUCUGGUAAUUGUCUUUAUGCAUGGGGACUCCCUUCUGAUCUUUCACUACUCCCUAAUGAAUGUCGUUGUGGUAGUUGCAUUGUGAAAGAGGAAUUCUCUAAGGAUAGGCUUCCUAGUUGGAUCAAUUGGCAACAAAAGAAAGAAUUUGUUUUAGGGUUUGGGAUUCUUGAUAGUGAAAUCUCUUCUCAGUUGUUUGAACCUGAUGGGUUUGGUGGGUUUACACUAAUUACAUUAACGUCCUUAGGGAAUCUUGAAUCACAUCGAUAUUGUGCUUCAUGGGAUUAUUCUACACAAGCUUCAGAAAAUGGGCAUGGAAAACACUCUCAGGAUUUAGAAGAUUCUUUUCUGUAUGAAACAGGUGAAGAGGAUUACAAGUUUAAAAAGCAAUUUCAGUAUUUGAAACUUGAUUGGCUUGAUGGAUACUUGAAAUCUGAUCUUUCCAGAAUCUUGAGUAGAGAACUAGUUAAGAACCUGAAUAAAGAAACCCAAAAAAACGUCUCUUUUGGUGAUGAUUUUCAUGAAGUUAUAUGCCAAAAGAUUAAGACUUUUCGUUGUGGUGGAUCUUUGAAUAUUCAUGAUGUGUUUCGUGAUGUUAGCUUGCCAACUAGCAUACAUGAGAUUGCUUUAAGAAGGAUGUGGGCCAAUCUACCCAAGAAAUAUUUACGAUUUGGGUUCUCUACUUAUUCAAAUCUUCCAGAUUUACCCAUGAAACUAAAACAUUUACCUUUAGAGUUUUUGGAAGUUCAAUGUCAUCAAUCUCAUCUACCUCCUUUUUUCUUUCGAUCACCUUCAUUUCGAAGUAGUAAGUGGUCAGACAAGAAAAAGCCAAGCAAUUCUUUAGUGGGACCCGUUGUUCCAAUCCCAUUUUUGCUAACUUUUCAUAAAACCCACAUGUUAAAAGCUGAUAACAUGUCUGCUGAUUCUGAAAUCGAUCGAGAGUGUGAUGAAGUAAUGAAGGUGGCUAAUGAAGUCAUUGCAUCAGAGUCAGAAUCUGAAGCUUAUAAUGUCACUGCUGUUUCACUUGCUGAUGAUAAUGAAGAUGUGUUAUAUGGUUCUCAGAAUCAAGAAAUGUUUGGGUCUUAUAAGUUGAAAAUGGAGGAUUCUGAUUUUGAAGAUGAGAAGCAUACAAAAGUUGUUUUUAGGAUUGGUCAAAAGGAUGCGAAAGAGAUUUUUGACUCGAAUUGCCCUUUGAAAUUUAAAUUUAAUGAAGAAGUUACGAGUUUUGGGCCAAAAGAAAUGAAGUCGUACAAGUUACUUAAGAGGCAAUAUUCCAAUUUCAAAAAAAGUUUUAGUUGUUAUCAAGACUACAUGGCUAAAUCUAAUAUCCACAAGUAAGUCUUCAAUUUAAAUGUGGUUUCCAUUUAUCAGAAACAAUAGUAGCAUUGGAAGAACUUGAAGAUGAAAAACAAGGAGAGGAGAGCCUAAGGCAUUUGAUUAAAGGGUUGCAUGCAUAUGAUGACUAUGAUGAGUGAAACUUUUAUGAACGUGCAAAGUGCAAACAAAUUUUUUGAUCUUGUUGCCACUUGUCACCUGUCUAAAAAGUUAAGAUGAAAUAUACAUGAUAGAAAUAGGUGACAACAAUCAUUUACGAGUAAAUAAUAUGACAAAGGAUUGCACGAUCAUUAUAACAGGAAAAUUGUUUCAUAUAAACUUUUUGAAGUUAAUAUCUAUAUGAAUUGUGAUCGGAAUGUAUUGGCUAGUGGCUAUAUUUUUGUAAUCAUUUCACAUCAGUUUGAUAUAUGAGAAUUAAGCUAUCAUCUA